This 459-nucleotide ribosomal RNA is filed under the name uncultured bacterium. RNAcentral describes it as "bacterial SSU rRNA". It matches the Rfam family "Bacterial small subunit ribosomal RNA", at positions 15 to 518 of the family's 1533-position model. The record is from RNAcentral.
GAUUCUGGCUCAGAGCGAACGCUGGCGGCAGGCCUAACACAUGCAAGUCGAGCGGCCGUAGCAAUACGGCAGCGGCAGACGGGAGAGUAACACGUGGGAACGCGCCCUUCGGUCGGAAUAACUCAGGGAAACUUGGGCUAAUACCGGAUACGCCCUUACGGGGAAAGAUUUAUUGCCGAAGGAACGGCCCGCGUCCGAUUAGCUUGUUGGUGAGGUAACGGCUCACCAAGGCGACGAUCGGUAGCUGGUCUGAGAGGAUGACCAGCCUCACUGGGACUGAGACACGGCCCAGACUCCUACGGGAGGCAGCAGUGGGGAAUAUUGGACAACGGGCGCAAGCCUGAUCCAGCCCAUGCCGCGUGAGUGAUGAAGGCCUUAGGGUUGUAAAGCUCUUUUAGCAGGGAAGAUAAUGACGGUACCUGCAGAAAAAGCCCCGGCUAACUUCGUGCCAGCAGCUGC